AAGCUGAAAUGCUCCCAAGCUGUAGAAAGUUGACAGCAGAGACGUCCAGGAAACAAGCAAGGUUCAAAGCGUGGAUGCUGCAGGGCGCCUUUGAGAAAAAGAAAUUUCAGAGAGCAACAGAUUCAGUCUUACCUGCUGAGGUCAAGAGCUGGAGGAUCCUGCUUGAGAAGGAAGACGAGUCUGUUUGGAGUACUGACGAGGAUAUCUGCACAGAGAAAA
Molecule: long non-coding RNA, 219 nt
Organism: Micropterus salmoides (largemouth bass)
Lineage: Eukaryota; Metazoa; Chordata; Actinopteri; Centrarchiformes; Centrarchidae
Exons: 3
Source: RefSeq, a predicted model, not a curated record